AUACCAUGCUGAAUAUACCGGUUCUCGUUAGAUCACCGAAGUCAAGCAUUAUUGGGCGCGGUCAGUACUUGGGUGGGUGACCCCCUGGGAACCGCGUGCCGUU
Molecule: ribosomal RNA, 103 nt
Filed under: Caerostris darwini
Lineage: Eukaryota; Metazoa; Arthropoda; Arachnida; Araneae; Araneidae
Source: RNAcentral